RNAcentral lists this ribosomal RNA (466 nucleotides) under uncultured bacterium. RNAcentral's name for it is "bacterial SSU rRNA". It matches the Rfam family "Bacterial small subunit ribosomal RNA", at positions 355 to 825 of the family's 1533-position model. The record is from RNAcentral.
UGGGGAAUAUUGGACAAUGCCCGGAAGGGUGAACCAGCCAUCCCGCGUGAAGGAUGAAGGGGCUCUGCCUUGUAAACUUCUUUUGAAUGGGACGAAAAAGCCUCACUUGUGAGGAACUGACGGUACCAUUAGAAUAAGCACCGGCUAACUCCGUGCCAGCAGCCGCGGUAAUACGAAGGGGGCUAGCGUUGCUCGGAAUCACUGGGCGUAAAGCGCACGUAGGCGGACUCUUAAGUCGGUGGUGAAAUCCUGGAGCUCAACUCCAGAACUGCCUUCGAUACUGAGAGUCUCGAGUCCGAGAGAGGUGAGUGGAACUGCGAGUGUAGAGGUGAAAUUCGUAGAUAUUCGCAAGAACACCAGUGGCGAAGGCGGCUCACUGGCUCGGUACUGACGCUGAGGUGCGAAAGCGUGGGGAGCAAACAGGAUUAGAUACCAAGUAGUCCCUGAGCGGGCUGGCAAGGCGCAU